This 1437-nucleotide ribosomal RNA is filed under the name uncultured bacterium. RNAcentral describes it as "bacterial SSU rRNA". It matches the Rfam family "Bacterial small subunit ribosomal RNA". The record is from RNAcentral.
AGAGUUUGAUCCUGGCUCAGAACGUACGCUGGCGGCACGCCUUAUACAUGCAAGUCGAACGCAGUAGCAAUACUGAGUGGCAGACGGGUGAGUAUAAUGUGGGAAUCUGCCUUUUGGUUUGGAAUAACUCGGGGAAACCUGUGCUAAUACCGGAUAAGUCUUUACGGAGAAAGCUUUAUGCACCAUUGGAUGAGCCUGCACUUGAUUAGUUUGUUGGUGGGGUAAUGGCCUACCAAGACUGUGAUCAAUAGCUGAUUUGAGAGGAUGAUCAGCCACAUUGGGACUGAGACACGGCCCAAACUCCUACGGGAGGCAGCAGUGGGGAAUCUUGCACAAUGGAGGAAACUCUGAUGCAGCGAUGCCGCGUGAGUGAAGAAGGCCUUUGGGUUGUAAAGCUCUUUCGUCGGGGAAGAAAAUGACUGUACCCGAAUAAGAAGGUCCGGCUAACUUCGUGCCAGCAGCCGCGGUAAUACGAAGGGACCUAGCCGUAGUUCGGAAUUACUGGGCUUAAAGAGUUCGUAGGUGGUUGAAAAAGUUAGUGGUGAAAUCCCAGAGCUUAACUCUGGAACUGCCAUUAAAACUUUUCAGCUAGAGUAUGAUAGAGGAAAGCAGAAUUUCUAGUGUAGAGGUGAAAUUCGUAGAUAUUAGAAAGAAUACCAAUUGCGAAGGCAGCUUUCUGGAUCAUUACUGACACUGAGGAACGAAAGCAUGGGUAGCGAAGAGGAUUAGAUACCCUCGUAGUCCAUGCCGUAAACGAUGUGUGUUAGACGUUGGAAAUUUAUUUUCAGUGUCGCAGCGAAAGCGAUAAACACACCGCCUGGGGAGUACGACCGCAAGGUUAAAACUCAAAUGAAUUGACGGGGACCCGCACAAGUAGUGGAGCAUGUGGUUUAAUUCGAAGAUACGCGCAGAACCUUACCAACACUUGACAUGUUCGUCGCGACUCUAAGAGAUUAGAGUUUUCGGUUCGGCCGGACGAAACACAGGUGCUGCAUGGCUGUCGUCAGCUCGUGUCGUGAGAUGUUGGGUUAAGUCCCGCAACGAGCGCAACCCUCACUUUUAGUUGCCAUCAUUUAGUUGGGCACUCUGAAAGAACUGCCAGUGAUAAGCUGGAGGAAGGUGGGGAUGACGUCAAGUCCUCAUGGCCCUUACGUGUUGGGCUACACACGUGCUACAAUGGUAUCUACAACAGGAAGCAAGACUGCGAGGUCAAGCAAAUCCUUAAAAGAUACCUCAGUUCGGAUUGCACUCUGCAACUCGAGUGCAUGAAGCUGGAAUUACUAGUAAUCGUGGAUCAGCGUGCCACGGUGAAUGCGUUCCCGGGUCUUGUACACACCGCCCGUCACACCAUGGGAGUUGGUUCUACCUUAAGGCAAGGUUUAAAACCCUUGACCACGGUAUAGUCAGCGACUGGGGUGAAGUCGUAACAAGGUAACC